AGUGAACGCUGGCGGUAGGCCUAACACAUGCAAGUCGAACGGCAGCACAGUAAGAGCUUGCUCUUACGGGUGGCGAGUGGCGGACGGGUGAGGAAUACAUCGGAAUCUACUUUUUCGUGGGGGAUAACGUAGGGAAACUUACGCUAAUACCGCAUACGACCUACGGGUGAAAGCAGGGGAUCUUCGGACCUUGCGCGAUUGAAUGAGCCGAUAUCGGAUUAGCUAGUUGGCGGGGUAAAGGCCCACCAAGGCGACGAUCCGUAGCUGGUCUGAGAGGAUGAUCAGCCACACUGGAACGGAGACACGGUCCAGACUCCUACGGGAGGCAGCAGUGGGGAAUAUUGGACAAUGGGCGCAAGCCUGAUCCAGCCAUACCGCGUGGGUGAAGAAGGCCUUCGGGUUGUAAAGCCCUUUUGUUGGGAAAGAAAAGCAGCAGGUUAAUACCCCGCUGUUCUGACGGUACCCAAAGAAUAAGCACCGGCUAACUUCGUG
RNAcentral lists this ribosomal RNA (492 nucleotides) under uncultured bacterium. RNAcentral describes it as "partial 16S ribosomal RNA". It matches the Rfam family "Bacterial small subunit ribosomal RNA", at positions 29 to 507 of the family's 1533-position model. The record is from RNAcentral.